UGAGAGGAGCUGCGGAAAUUAAAUAAAUUCUAAACAAACAGCUUAUUGAUAUAUUGCCUAGUAACUCGAAGCCGAAUGUAACCUCAGAAGAUCAUUAUGCUUUAUUCUUUGCUAUAGAUUUUCACUGCUUCCCCGGCUUGAAUUCAGUCUGAAACAAGGAGAGUAGGGAUGUAAGGAGGUGGAGGAUGAGGAGAGAAGAGAUAUGGAAGGUGCUCUCAUGAUGGAAGGCGCUACCAGGACGGAAGGUGCUAUCAUGAUGGAAGAUGCUACCACGAUGGACAUGCUACCACGAUGGAAGGUGCUAUCAUGGUGGAAGAUGCUACCAUGACGGAGGUGAUACCGCAAUGGAAGGUGCUGCACAGCGACAUGGGUUGGCAAGGGGUCCCACUCUGGCACAGUCACUCCCCUUCCAUACACCUGCCAUCCUGGGUCCCAGGCGUGCCAUUUCUGAGCAUAACUCUAUUCCCAUACAGCAGUUUUUACAAUACAUUCAUAGAAUGCAAAUCAAGUGCAGUGUAGAGAAUGGUGGCUGCAUUUUAUAGUCUUCACGUAACUCAGAGGGGCGGAUGGAGCAGCAGGGAUGCUCAGAGGCUGCACCUCACCAGCACACACCAUUUACAAAAGGUUUGGUGAUCUUCACCAGCAAAGGAUGUGGUUGAGAAACUCUUUUGCCUUUGAAGGAAUUACACAGAAGACAUCUCUGUGCAAGACCCAUUCCUCUCCAACAAAAAACUGCUGCUCCUGUUCAUACCCAAUGCAGGUACAGGAAUCCAAAGAGCAGAUCUGGCCCAUCUUCCCACAAAUGAGGAACCAGAAGGUUUAUUUUUCUGUUCUGCCAAUGCUGCCAAUCAUCACUCACGUUUCCAUACGUGAGGCAUUUUCAAUCCCAGCUGUGCAGCAUUUACACCACUGACAUUACCCUACAGUGCAUGCAAACAGCCCAGCAGCCAGAAUCAGCCUUGCCCAAAGCUGCUCUACAGUGCAGUUUCUCCACACCCCAUUUACCUGGGGCUGUCCUGGGAGCGUGACACAGCCAAGAGCUCGAAGCCUACACAACAUCAGGACAGUGCUGCACAACAUCCAGAACCAUGCUGUGAAGAGCAGUCAGCCCUGACCUGUGCAUUGCUGCACUGUCUCUAGUUUCUGUUAUCCACAGUUGACAUUUUUCCUUUCCACAGUUCUACUUUUCUGCAUUUAUUUUCUGCACACUCCUUUUAUGUACGCUCAGUUACAAUAGUGAUCAAAGAACUCAGAAGUUCCUAUGCAAAUGAAGUUACGAAUUUGCGGUUUGGGAAGAAUGUAAAACCCACUCAUUCUAUUUAUAUUGAAAUAUUUUAAUGUAUUUUUAAUGCCUUGGCCCUGGCAAAGUGAAUUUCAUUCAAGGAAGUGAUAUAUUGAGCAAACAUUAUUCUCCUAGGUUUAUUUCUUUGUCAAAUAAUUGAUUUUUUU
RNAcentral lists this long non-coding RNA (1449 nucleotides) under Gallus gallus (chicken). Lineage: Eukaryota; Metazoa; Chordata; Aves; Galliformes; Phasianidae. The record is from RNAcentral.